This 582-nucleotide ribosomal RNA is filed under the name uncultured Bacillus sp. RNAcentral's name for it is "bacterial SSU rRNA". It matches the Rfam family "Bacterial small subunit ribosomal RNA", at positions 102 to 668 of the family's 1533-position model. The record is from RNAcentral. Lineage: Bacteria; Bacillati; Bacillota; Bacilli; Caryophanales; Bacillaceae.
ACGGGUGAGUAACACGUGGGCAACCUACCUUAUCGACUGGGAUAACUCCGGGAAACCGGGGCUAAUACCGGAUAACAUCUAGCACCUCCUGGUGCCGGAUUAAAAGAGGGCUUCUUGCUCUCACGAUGAGAUGGGCCCGCGGCGCAUUAGCUAGUUGGAGAGGUAACGGCUCCCCAAGGCGACGAUGCGUAGCCGACCUGAGAGGGUGAUCGGCCACACUGGGACUGAGACACGGCCCAGACUCCUACGGGAGGCAGCAGUAGGGAAUCUUCCGCAAUGGACGAAAGUCUGACGGAGCAACGCCGCGUGAGUGAUGAAGGGUUUCGGCUCGUAAAGCUCUGUUAUGAGGGAAGAACACGUACCGUUCGAAUAGGGCGGUACCUUGACGGUACCUCAUCAGAAAGCCACGGCUAACUACGUGCCAGCAGCCGCGGUAAUACGUAGGUGGCAAGCGUUGUCCGGAAUUAUUGGGCGUAAAGCGCGCGCAGGCGGCCUUUUAAGUCUGAUGUGAAAUCUUGCGGCUCAACCGCAAGCGGCCAUUGGAAACUGGGAGGCUUGAGUACAGAAGAGGAGAGUGGAAUU